This 460-nucleotide ribosomal RNA is filed under the name uncultured bacterium. Its description in RNAcentral is "partial 16S ribosomal RNA". It matches the Rfam family "Bacterial small subunit ribosomal RNA", at positions 338 to 795 of the family's 1533-position model. The record is from RNAcentral.
CCUACGGGGGGCAGCAGUGAGGAAUAUUGGUCAAUGGGCGCGAGCCUGAACCAGCCAAGUAGCGUGAAGGAUGACUGCCCUCCGGGUUGUAAACUUCUUUUAUAAAGGAAUAAAGUGAGGCACGUGUGCCUUUUUGUAUGUGCUUUAUGAAUAAGGAUCGGCUAACUUCGUGCCAGCAGCCGCGGUAAUACGGAGGAUUCGAGCGUUAUCCGGAUUUAUUGGGUUUAAAGGGAGCGUAGAUGGGUUGUUAAGUCAGUUGUGAAAGUUUGCGGCUCAACCGUAAAAUUGCAGUUGAUACUGGCAGCCUUGAGUACAGUUGAGGUAGGCGGAAUUCGUGGUGUAGCGGUGAAAUGCUUAGAUAUCACGAAGAACUCCGAUUGCGAAGGCAGCUUACUAAACUGCCACUGACAUUGAGGCUCGAAAGUGUGGGUAUCAAACAGGAUUAGAUACCCUAGUAGUC